GAAGUGCAAGAAAACUUGCAGUAGUUUCUAAAGCGCAUGGUCUUGAAUUGGGACACUUUAGCACCCGUAACAAUUUUCAAAGUGAAGUAUUACGAAGAAACGAAGUAUUUGCGUUGACAUAUGUUGAUAGAAUAAUUUUUCCUAGCGAAAACUGCUCAACUUCUGCGAAAUAGCAUUUCUCUGAGAAGCCAAUCAGAUCUCUUGCUCUAGUCGUCUAACCCAGAGCCUAAUUUUCAACGAGUGACCGAGUGAAAAUGGCUCUGGGGACGAGAAUGGUCCACC
Molecule: non-coding RNA, 282 nt
Organism: Paramuricea clavata
Lineage: Eukaryota; Metazoa; Cnidaria; Anthozoa; Malacalcyonacea; Plexauridae
Source: the annotation of a GenBank genome assembly